UGAUAAUAUUCUUCUUUCCCCUAUCCCUUUACUCAGAGCCAAACUAAACACAAAGAAUAUUUUCUUAUUUUUGUUUUUAAUGAAUUUCUACAACAUUGCUUCCUAUUAGCAUGAACAAUUUUAAAUGUACUGUAAAAAUAGUAAUUAUGAAAGUUUUGAGGAGGUUGGAUUAGGGAUUGUGCAAUUUGGUGAAUGGGAGGGAUUAUUGGGAAAAUUCUUGAGAAUGAAGACUUCUUUAACAGGCUCUCUUUCUCUUCUGUAGUAAAAUAAUUACACUUAUAGAUAUGCCUAGAUCAUAAGUCAUGACAUUUCAGAAAAAGUAUGAAAAAAGUUUUAGCUUGUGGAUAAUUCCCAUCCUGCUUAUCAACCCCGAUCAGUUUCAGAAUCUCUCCAAUCUCCCACAGAUACAUACAGAACCUAUACCCUAGAGGGAGAUUCUACUCUCAGUGGAACCUAGUACACAAGAUCCAGGUUCUUAGACCAGGAGCAAGAGACACACAUUCAUGACCUAAGAAAGGAAAGAACUGGUUGCCAGGUGCAGGGGAUGGUGCUUCUCAUAAAAGACAAUUCUCCUACAAUUUCACCCACCAUUUACUCUGAAAGAAAUACCCAAUUUGGCUAGAGAGGUGGUUUUUAAAGAUAACUAGGAAGAUGCAUGGGAAAGUACAUCGUCAGCUAAUUAGCUACUGGAUUCUGUAACUGUGAUAGUGCCCAGUUGACACAGAAUGACUUUGGAUGAUGUGUGACUGGGGGUUCUCAUCACCCAAGAUUGUAAGACUAUGGAGUUUAUAGAUACUAAAUCAGGCAAAAGCUGGAACUAUGAAGAAAAACCAUCCCAGACAAUCCUUCGGAAUAAGGAUAAAUUAUCUACUAAAGGGAAAAAAGUACAUUCUUGUAAAACUAUUAAAAGGAAAAAAAAAUCUUUGAUGAAAAGUGAAAAAAGGCUGGUAUCUGUACCUAAAAUUCCAGUUACUCAACUGCUCUCUCUUAUUCCUGGACAAAAAGUGGCUGAGAGUGCUCCAGCUAAGCCUCAUAUUGAAGUAUGGAUUCUUCCCCUCAGAAAGGACCCUCAAGAAUUGACAAGAAUCAAAUCAAGGGAAACUCAAGGAAGUGAAGAUGACCAAACAGAAAUUAUCAGUUGGCAUGCAGAGGAUGAUGCUGAAAAGAAAAUUUCUUUGCCUGACCUGUUUCCAAGCCAAGUUAAUCUAAUUAAUGAGGAAAUAGUUGGUGAGUCUCAAGGCCAAAGAAAGGCAGAUUUGGAAAGGCAAGAUAUUCAGCAUGGUACAAUUACCAAAACAAUGGGUGAGUUUGAAGGCCAAAGCCUUUUGCCAGAGUGGAAAGAUCAAGAUAGUCAACCUAGUACAACUAGUACCAAGAAAAUGGGUGAGUUUGAAGGCCAAAGCCUUUUGCCAGAGUGGAAAGAUCAAGAUAGUCAACCUAGCACAAGUAGUACUGAUAAAAAAGAACAAGAAGAACCUUCAGGAAUUUCAGAUGUGAUUCCCUCAAUUACAAGUCUAAUUAAACAAUUAGACUUAGACAGAGUAGUUGAGAUAAGCAUAGCUGAUUUAUUAAAGGACACAAAAGAAGUCAGUUUUACUCCAGCACGGGCAGAUGUUUCAACAAAAACUGUGCCUUUCUCAAAGCUUUUUCAACAAAAUAAAAUAUCUGGUUUACUAAAGGACAAAAAAGACGGUGCAAAAUUAACACAGAUGGAUGUGUCCCAAGAGCCUUUUCCACCAAGAAAGAAAUUUGAAAAGGGAAGUGAAUUACCAUCCAAAUUACAGUCAGCCAGAGAUAUUUUACUCCCGUGAACAAUUCCUUCAGUAGAAAAAAGGAGAUAUAUUCAGGAUCACAUUUUAUUUCCAGGAAAAAACUUCAUGCCACAAAAGACAAUGCUACAAUUGAGAAAAUAUUUAAAUGAUGUCAUUCUUCUAUGUAGUUUACGUCAUCAGAUUUGUUGUACUUUGAGGAAGUAUAAAAUAUUAAAAUCUAUUGGGUGUAAUUGUGAAAUAAGAUCUAUGAAAAUUUAUUUUGGGAAAUGCCACUAUUUUCAGUGUCAAAUUAUCAAUCAAAUGAAACUUGUAUUCUUAGGAGUAAUUAUCAAAAAAAUUUUCAAAUUUUGAAAAUAUAAGAGGGAAAUACACAAAUUAGAAGCCCA
This 2158-nucleotide long non-coding RNA is filed under the name Sarcophilus harrisii (Tasmanian devil). Its description in RNAcentral is "lncRNA (ENSSHAG00000027092.1)". The record is from RNAcentral. Lineage: Eukaryota; Metazoa; Chordata; Mammalia; Dasyuromorphia; Dasyuridae.